CCUACGGGGAGCAGCAGUGAGGAAUAUUGGUCAAUGGACGAGAGUCUGAACCAGCCAAGUAGCGUGAAGGAUGACUGCCCUAUGGGUUGUAAACUUCUUUUAUCAAGGAAUAAAACGAGGCACGUGUGCCUUUUUGCAUGUACUUUAUGAAUAAGGAUCGGCUAACUCCGUGCCAGCCGCCGCGGUAAUACGGAGGAUCCGAGCGUUAUACGGAUUUAUUGGGUUUAAAGGGAGCGUAGAUGGGUUGUUAAGUCAGUUGUGAAAGUUUGCGGCUCAACCGUAAAAUUGCAAUUGAUACUGGCAGUCUUGAGUACAGUUGAGGUAGGCGGAAUUCGUGGUGUAGCGGUGAAAUGCUUAGAUAUCACGAAGAACCCCGAUUGCGAAGGCAGCUUACUAAACUGUGACUGACAUUGAUGCUCGAAAGUGUGGGUAUCAAACAGGAUUAGAUACCCCAGUAGUC
This 460-nucleotide ribosomal RNA is filed under the name uncultured bacterium. RNAcentral's name for it is "partial 16S ribosomal RNA". It matches the Rfam family "Bacterial small subunit ribosomal RNA", at positions 338 to 795 of the family's 1533-position model. The record is from RNAcentral.